RNAcentral lists this ribosomal RNA (230 nucleotides) under Fusarium penzigii. Its description in RNAcentral is "partial 28S ribosomal RNA". It matches the Rfam family "Eukaryotic large subunit ribosomal RNA", at positions 1 to 233 of the family's 3401-position model. Lineage: Eukaryota; Fungi; Ascomycota; Sordariomycetes; Hypocreales; Nectriaceae. The record is from RNAcentral.
UUGACCUCGGAUCAGGUAGGAAUACCCGCUGAACUUAAGCAUAUCAAUAAGCGGAGGAAAAGAAACCAACAGGGAUUGCCCUAGUAACGGCGAGUGAAGCGGCAACAGCUCAAAUUUGAAAUCUGGCUCUCGGGCCCGAGUUGUAAUUUGUAGAGGAUGCUUUUGGCAAGGUGCCUUCCGAGUUCCCUGGAACGGGACGCCAUAGAGGGUGAGAGCCCCGUCUGGUUGGA